AACACACAAAAAGAAAAGAGGUUAUUGUAAGAAGGUCUAAGAGUAAGCCACAAGACUGACUACCUACCAAAAUUGAAAGCCAACCGGAUUUAUCUUUAAGUUAAGCUAACUUAGAGUGGAUUCAUGUAAGAAUAACUCUAAUAAGCUGAACACUAAAUCUAUGCGUCCAGGCGACUUUCAGAAAUUAAAUUGGAUUCUAACUCUGAGAUCGUAACACAGUAAAAUCAAACAACA
RNAcentral lists this long non-coding RNA (234 nucleotides) under Lathyrus oleraceus (garden pea). Its description in RNAcentral is "Pisum sativum (pea) long non-coding RNA (PSAT_LNC018235)". The record is from RNAcentral. Lineage: Eukaryota; Viridiplantae; Streptophyta; Magnoliopsida; Fabales; Fabaceae.